This 2280-nucleotide long non-coding RNA is filed under the name Eucalyptus grandis. Its description in RNAcentral is "long non-coding RNA (EGRA_LNC005499)". Lineage: Eukaryota; Viridiplantae; Streptophyta; Magnoliopsida; Myrtales; Myrtaceae. The record is from RNAcentral.
CCAACUCUCCCUCAUCCUCUCCAUCUUGCUGCCGUGAGAUGUUUCCCUUCCAUCAUUCCCAAUUCUGGCGACACCUCCAUCAACAGCUGAAGAAAACUGGAGCUGCCGUUUGUUCGUGCUCCUCUUUUGGCCACGCCAGCUUGCGAACAAAAACCAAGCUGCUGAAGCGUUGAAGAAGCCCUGCAACGACGUCUCUCGAAGAUCCAGCGCACAUCAGCUGCUCUCCAGUCAACUUCAUUCUCCACCGCUCCGUUUCCUCGCACAAGCCAGCAGCGAAGAAACAUUGAAAGCAGAAGCAGCCAGCAACACCUGCAAGCUGCCAGGCGUCUUCCACUUCUUCAGUCAACCCUUCCUUUAAAUUUUCUACUGUUGAAACCCACCGAAAUUCCACCGUUGUUCCUCUCUCUUCUACCACGAAUCAAACUCCACCGAGGUUCCAUCCUGUUGACUACAGAAGCCUCAUCAUCCGAAGACCAAAGCGGUUCGUCCGCUUCUUCCACGCAGGCCACGAAGUUCUGCCCAGCAGCGACAAAACGCUGCAGCUUCUUGGUCAGAUUGUUGACUUCAAUUUCCACGCUUGGUUGCCCACGACGCCACUUGGCCCAACGUCUGCGAGCAGCUUCGUCUUCGCUGCUUCGUGCGUCUCCAGCCACGCCAUCCAGAGAAGCCAAGAUCUUCGCAGCAUCAAUUGAAGCCGCACGCCAGCGAAGCCCAAUACACCGAUCCUUCAGCAAACCCACGCAAUCCAGCAGCCCAGCUCAGCCCGUGAAUUUCAGUGUUCAAGCCUGUAGGAUUGAGGCCCAAGUUCAGCCCUCAAUUUGAAGCCCAAGUUAGUUCAGUCCAGAAAUUCAGCAGGCCCAGUCCACCUUGGGUCUGGCCCAAAAGCAAGACCAAAUCUCAGUUGGGCUGAGAUUUGUUGGGCCAAGUCUUAGGCUCGGUCCAAGCCCGUUUUCAGCCGCCGUUGCGUCGUCGUUGCCGCAUUCCGGUCUUCGUUUAGUGCAAGUGAGUUUUACUCACUAAUGCUUUAUUAGUUUGCUAAUUAUGCCUUAGGGUUGGUUAGAUUUAAUUACAUGCACUUAGGUGGUUAGAUUAGGUUAGAACAAUUAAUUUAGUGACUUAAUGAUGCAUGUUAGGUGGCUAGACCUAGUUAUUAGCAAGUAGAAAGGUUCGGUUAUUUAUUGAAUGUAUCUCGGGAUUUUUCCCGACCCGUUUCGGGCUCCAAUCAGGCAAUAUGGGCCUAAAUUGGAUUAUUAUUAUUUAUUUAUUUAAUUUUCGAAAUUAAUUAUUUAAUUAAUUAUUUUUCUGGAAAUUCAACCGGGAUGGCUAGUGACUAGAAUUUCGUGCUGAUUGUCGGGGUGCAGACCGUUUAUUUAUUUGAGCUCUAUGUUGUGUGUGGAAUUGAAUUAAUUGUGAAAUUUGAGAAUUGUCCCAAAUUGUUUGUUAUUGAGCAUUUGAUUGGUAAUGGCCGAGCAUGGAUAUAUAGCGCCAGUACAUUGAUGGGCUAUAUAGCAGGGAGAAUGGUGAGAGCGACUGAGAACAUUAUUGGUUGAGACCAAUCAUGUACGAUAUUGUUGGACAUACGUGGUUCGGUGAUUGGGAGUAUCACUGGCGAAAACGGUGCUUUAAAGAACGCACGUAAAUGACUAUAGACAAACGUGGUUCGGUGAUCAUGGAAAUAUCACUGGUGAAAACGACGCCUUAAAGAACUCACGAUGUUGUCUAUAGCCGAUGUCACCUUGGCGAAAACGGCGCCCUAGAAAGGACACGUGGUUCGGUGAUCGAGGAUAUCACUGGUGAAAACGGCGCCUUAAAGAACGUACGGUGUCGGUGAUCAGUAUGUCAUUGGCGAAAACGACGCCUGAGAAACACAUGUGAUUUGGUGAAUGAGUACACCACUGGGAAAUCAUGGUAUGAGUGGGAAUGACCUAGAGAGGGUCUGACUGACAUGUAAUCGACUUAGUCGAUUGGCCAAUGCUUGAUCGGAUGUCGUGAAUUGUUUGAAUAUCUAUGUUUAACCUUGAAUUGCAGGUUGGAACUGAGGCCAAGGUAAGUCCUCUGACUCGUGUUGUGCUUAGGCAACCGUAUGGCGUAUCAGUUUACUAAUCGAGUCGUAGGGGGUAGGACUCGCUGAGACGUGGUCUCAUUGGUUAUUGAAUAACCAUUCCAGGACCCUGAGGAGAAGCUAAGGAAGAGGAACCUGAAGGGGAGAAAGACUUUUGAAGAAGAAGACGAUCCAGAGAGGGAUCUUGAUUAUAACCCGGAUGUGGACUGAGAUCCCAU